CUCGCUGUGAAGAUGCAGUGUACCCGCGGCAAGACGGAAAGACCCCGUGAACCUUUACUAUAGCUUGACACUGAACAUUGAGCCUUGAUGUGUAGGAUAGGUGGGAGGCUUUGAAGUGUGGACGCCAGUCUGCAUGGAGCCGACCUUGAAAUACCACCCUUUAAUGUUUGAUGUUCUAACGUGGACCCGUUACCCGGGUUGCGGACAGUGUCUGGUGGGUAGUUUGACUGGGGCGGUCUCCUCCUAAAGAGUAACGGAGGAGCACGAAGGUUGGCUAAUCCUGGUCGGACAUCAGGAGGUUAGUGCAAUGGCAUAAGCCAGCUUGACUGCGAGCGUGACGGCGCGAGCAGGUGCGAAAGCAGGUCAUAGUGAUCCGGUGGUUCUGAAUGGAAGGGCCAUCGCUCAACGGAUAAAAGGUACUCCGGGGAUAACAGGCUGAUACCGCCCAAGAGUUCAUAUCGACGGCGGUGUUUGGCACCUCGAUGUCGGCUCAUCACAUCCUGGGGCUGAAGUAGGUCCCAAGGGUAUGGCUGUUCGCCAUUUAAAGUGGUACGCGAGCUGGGUUUAGAACGUCGUGAGACAGUUCGGUCCCUAUCUGCCGUGGGCGCUGGAGAACUGAGGGGGGCUGCUCCUAGUACGAGAGGACCGGAGUGGACGCAUCACUGGUGUUCGGGUUGUCAUGCCAAUGGCACUGCCCGGUAGCUAAAUGCGGAAGAGAUAAGUGCUGAAAGCAUCUAAGCACGAAACUUGCCCCGAGAUGAGUUCUCCCUGAGACUUAAAGUCUCCUGAAGGAACGUUGAAGACGACGACGUUGAUAGGCCGGGUGUGUAAGCGCAGCGAUGCGUUGAGCUAACCGGUACUAAUGAACCGUGAGGCUUAACCUUACAACGCCGAAG
Molecule: ribosomal RNA, 896 nt
Filed under: Salmonella enterica
Lineage: Bacteria; Pseudomonadati; Pseudomonadota; Gammaproteobacteria; Enterobacterales; Enterobacteriaceae
Description: partial 23S ribosomal RNA
Rfam family: Bacterial large subunit ribosomal RNA
Source: RNAcentral